GAACGCUGGCGGCGUGCUUAACACAUGCAAGUCGAACGAUGAUGCCCAGCUUGCUGGGCGGAUUAGUGGCGAACGGGUGAGUAACACGUGAGUAACCUGCCCUUGACUUCGGGAUAACUCCGGGAAACCGGGGCUAAUACCGGAUAUGAGCCGUCCUCGCAUGGGGGUGGUUGGAAAGUUUUUCGGUCAGGGAUGGGCUCGCGGCCUAUCAGCUUGUUGGUGGGGUGAUGGCCUACCAAGGCGACGACGGGUAGCCGGCCUGAGAGGGCGACCGGCCACACUGGGACUGAGACACGGCCCAGACUCCUACGGGAGGCAGCAGUGGGGAAUAUUGCACAAUGGGCGAAAGCCUGAUGCAGCGACGCCGCGUGAGGGAUGAAGGCCUUCGGGUUGUAAACCUCUUUCAGCAGGGAAGAAGCGCAAGUGACGGUACCUGCAGAAGAAGCGCCGGCUAACUACGUGCCAGCAGCCGCGGUAAUAC
RNAcentral lists this ribosomal RNA (481 nucleotides) under Cellulosimicrobium cellulans. Its description in RNAcentral is "bacterial SSU rRNA". It matches the Rfam family "Bacterial small subunit ribosomal RNA", at positions 31 to 526 of the family's 1533-position model. The record is from RNAcentral. Lineage: Bacteria; Bacillati; Actinomycetota; Actinomycetes; Micrococcales; Promicromonosporaceae.